Long non-coding RNA from Prionailurus viverrinus (fishing cat), 166 nucleotides. RefSeq lists it as uncharacterized. NCBI's taxonomy places the organism in Eukaryota, Metazoa, Chordata, Mammalia, Carnivora, Felidae. The transcript has 3 exons. The record is from RefSeq and is a predicted model, not a curated record.
UGAUGACCUCCGAAGAGAGGCUGGAGGGGAGCAGAGGCUCAGCCUGGUCCAGGAUUUGGGACACCAGGGUUCGAAACACUGUUUGGAAGGAGAAACACAAAGAGGCUUUGAAGUGCCAUGAGCACUCAUUCGUUCACCUGUCUUUUAUACACUUCGCCGAGCCCAC